AACGAACGCUGGCGGCAGGCCUAACACAUGCAAGUCGAGCGAGGACUUCGGUUCUAGCGGCGGACGGGUGUGUAACGCGUGGGAAUGUGCCCUUCUCUACGGACUAGCCCUGGGAAACUGGGAGUAAUACCGUAUACGCCCUAUUGGGGAAAGAUUUAUCGGAGAAGGAUCAGCCCGCGUUGGAUUAGGUAGUUGGUGGGGUAAUGGCCUACCAAGCCGUCGAUCCAUAGCUGGUUUGAGAGGAUGAUCAGCCACACUGGGACUGAGACACGGCCCAGACUCCUACGCGAGGCAGCAGUGCGGAAUGUUAGACAAUGGGGGCAACACUGAUGGAGCCAGGCCGCGUGAGUGAUGAAGGCCUUAGGGUUGUAAAGCUCUUUCAGCUGGGCAGAUCAUGACGGUACCAGCACAGGAAGCCACGGCUAACUACGUG
Molecule: ribosomal RNA, 433 nt
Filed under: uncultured bacterium
Lineage: Bacteria
Description: partial 16S ribosomal RNA
Rfam family: Bacterial small subunit ribosomal RNA
Source: RNAcentral